This is a long non-coding RNA of Salvia splendens (bonfire salvia), 736 nucleotides long. RefSeq lists it as uncharacterized. The transcript has 2 exons. The record is from RefSeq and is a predicted model, not a curated record. NCBI's taxonomy places the organism in Eukaryota, Viridiplantae, Streptophyta, Magnoliopsida, Lamiales, Lamiaceae.
UUUCUUUCUUGGAUUGCAACAUUAAUUGUGUUUAUUCUAACCACCAUUUUAGAAUAUGUUGUCGAUUAAACUAAACUUUUUCCCAUUAUUUUUUAUUCGUCGAAUUUGACAGGAGGGCAUUGUGGGAGAGGAGGAGGAGGAGCAAUGUAGUCCGGUGUGUGUGUUAGAUGCUCCGUACGAAGACGAGGAGCAUCGCAAUCUAGUUGGAGAUGAUGAAGACGAGUACGAUGAUCUCGAGCCCGCCUAUGCGAAUAUCGAACGAGUUAGAAAACAACUUCUAGAGAGACUUGAAAGCUUCGAAAAACUUGUCGCACUUGACCAAGUGGACCUCGAGCAAAAGUUACUAGAAGCUUCUGACGAAGAACACAACAUAGAAUUCGAGCAGUUGUUAGUGCGCAGAAAACAACGUCCAUCAUCCAGUCUGAAAGAGAGUCGCAUGAAGAGGGCAAUAGGCGGCGACAAAAGCAAGGUAUUUAUGGGCCAUUUGUGGCGAGACACCUUAGAUAUGAUGAUGGAGGUCGAGUUCAGGACGGAGGCGGAGGUGGAGGUGGAGGUGGAGGAGACGGCGGCUGAACUGGAGCUAGCAAUCUUUGAGGAAUUGAUUGAACAAUGCUUAUGUAUGGAUCCACCACAUAGUUUAGAUCCUUCUUGUAAUUAUUAGUAUGUUUUUUGUCGAUCAAUUUAUUAAUUGGGAUUUGGUGGUGAUAUUAAAUUCAUCUUCCAUGAUUUUGGUCUU